UGACCCAGAGUCACACAAACAUUAGAGACACGUUGUUAGGGAAGGACAAGGAGUCCACCAGUUGGAGAAGCCAGGACAUCUUCCAAGAAAUGGACUGAAACCACAGCAGUAACUCUCACCCCAGGUAUCUGUCUCGAGGCCACCCUCCCUCAGAUGCAAACAGAGGCCACACUGGCCCCCAAAUCCACUGCUCUGAGAAAGUGGAACUGGUGCCCACCAGGCUGAGGUCAUGACUGAGGUCUUCACAUACAAGCCAUUUGUAGAGAAUUUGUAAAUAUCCACCAAAUAGUGAUUUGCAGAAUAUAAAUUUGCAGAAUAUAAUAGGGUGUGUUGGAAGCACCAAUAAAUAAAUAUUGGGGCUGUAAAAAGUUUAGUCUGAGAAAAAGGGAAGCAGUUACUUUACUGCAGUGUAACUUUGGUAAAAGCAAAAGAAAAAUCUGAAGAAACAAAAUCCAAUUUGGUGAAUCUGACCACAUAAGCAAUAUGAGAGUAAACCAGUCUAGGUUAACUCCCAAGCUUACCACUUCCUAGCUUUGUUACCCUGGGCACAUGUGAACAAAAGUUCUCUAAAAAGGAAUUUUGAGGAAAGAGACUUUAUUCCAGAGAAGUGAUUGCAAACUUGGAAGAUGCAACCUUCAAUGUAAAGGAAAGGUGCCAUCCAGAGAACAAAGGGAGAGUUUUGCUUUUAUAGAGAAAAUUCACACCCAGGUUCCCAAUCAGGUUCAUUUAUGCAAAUGAAGCAUUCAAACUUGCUUAGUUCUAAUUGGUUGAUAUAGUUGAUCCCUGAUUGGCCAAGGCAGGUGAGCUCUGAUUGGUUAGUUCCCAAAUUAGACAUUUGGGAGUUCUGAAGGUCCCAACCUUAAACCCGAGGAAUGAGUUUUCUGGGAACUAAAAGAUAUGUGUGACCUCUAAUUAGCAAAUGACUGCUUGACUAUUUUAAAUUUAGGCUCAGUUAGGCUCUUGGGAUUCAUUUUGAAGAACUGGCUCUUUCAGGUUCACAUUUGGAAAUAUUUCAUAUUUCUUCUCCAAUCUGAGCCCCAUGACCUAUAGCAGCUUAGUAUUAUGCAAAGCCCACUGAUUUUUUAAUCAGAUGGCCAAGCCCAGGCUGUCUGACAAUAGCAAGUCACAUGGACUUACUGAGCAUUAAUUUCCUCAUCUGUACUUGAAAAUCAAAUCUGAGUGAAAUUUACCUUGGUGUUCACAGAUCCUAGCACCGGGAAAAUGCCCAAGAAAUGCAAGUUACCAUUAUUAGCAGUAUUCCUAGUGUCACUCUGAUUAAUAUAAACAAUGAGAGCAAUAAUACCUACUUCACAGUGCUGUUGAAUAGACUAAUUACUAAUGAAUAAAAUCAUUUAACCAGCCUUGUAAUGUGAAGUACAUAAACAAAUACUUGGUUCAUUUGCUUCUUUCUCACCAGCUUUUUCUUGGCUGAAAACAAACUUUCCAUUUAAAAUCAAAAUUUCAGUAAUGAUAACAAGAUCUCUUCUCCAUGGUUUUCUGUUGGCUGAGUCUGUGUGGUUCAUUGAUAUACCCAGAGGUGAUGUCAGCUCAGAAUUCGAAAGGGCAGAAUGAUGGGUGGUCCCAGGUGGAAGUCUUGAUAAGCUGAUAAGAUAGGAAGAGAAUGAAGAUAGAUAGGAAAUUAAAAAUAUUGGCAAGAGAGAGAUCAAAGCGAAGGGUCGUGGGGGUUAGGCUUGAAAAGGAGAGAAAGGCAAGAUGAGGUUGAUGGAUAGGAAGAAAGUGGAAGGUCAAAGAUUAGAGGGCUCCGAGAAAAGAAUGUGAAUGAGAACGGAAAUGACUGGAGGUUGUGGUUGGGAAGUGAGGUGUUAAAAUUUUAAAUUUCUGCUUCAGGAAACAGCAGGGCCAUAAUGGUGGAUGGCUGACACUGGGUGAGGAAAGGAUCCCCAGAGACUAGGAAGCAGAGGGUGUGAGAGAUCAGCAUGCUGAUGACUUGUUGGGAUCAUGGAAGGACGUGGAGAAGGAGGUUCAAGGUGUUGAAUGACGUGACAGCAGGCUGGCUGAGGAUGCACAUUCUGCAGAGAUGUCUGCUUAAACCAUAGCCCUCUGGGAACAGUGUCCCUUCUUCAGUACAGGCAAUUUCCAAUGAGUAGCUAGACUGUCACCUUCUCCCAGUUCUGUGUCCUGUUUUGGACUGAUACUUGUCUUCCUUAACAUGGAUAGCUGUCACCAUAAUUAGGGUUGGAGGCUGUGGUUCCCAGUCAAUCAGGAUCCUGCCAUUGACGAUUUUGCUAGUGCUUUCCUAGGCUUGCAGCCUUUGCACCCACCUUAAAUUCCUAUCCACAAACCUGGUCAAUAUCCCCAAGAGGAAAAUACUUUGUCCUACAUACAUUCCCCAUGCCCAAAUGUGCAGUCACCCUUACUCCUUUCAUAUCUGAACAUUGCUUCCUGAAGGUUUCAUGUGCAGAGACUCCUUCACACACAAUCUAGAAUAAAAUGUAACCAAUUUCCUCCUCCAUGAUAGAUGUGAUGUACUUAAUACUCACUAAUUGUUAAGGUAUUUAAUGGCUACAAUCUAUGAUGAAGGUGGAGAUGCUUUAAAGUAAUUUAUGGAAUUUAUGCCUGUUAAUUAAAUAAGCAUUUCACAUGUGCAUUGGUGAGUCUUUAUACAUUUUUUAAAAAAUGAACAUAUGAAUUUGUGAGACAUCAGAUCUGUCUAUUCUGCAGACAACUGUAGACCUCUAAACAAUAAACCCAUAGCCACGGAGAAGUGUCUGACCCACAGGUUGGGAACUGCAGGUUUAAGAUGUUUGGUCUUCACAACUCUAGAGAGAUUUUUUAAAUGAGGAAACCGAUACCCAGGCAUAAUAAGAAAAACAGAUCAACCACAGUAGGGACUUAAGCAUCAGGCAAGUGUGUAUUCAAACCCGGUCCUCAUACCUACAUGGCUUGAGAAUUCUUCCUUUUCUUCUACCUGCUGAACCCUGAGCUCCGCUGGUAAAGUGAAGCUAACCUCUGUUGCUUUACUUCUGACUUCUUCUGUGCCCAUAUGCUCUUCCGGUACAGGUCUGGCCUGGAGUAUACAGGGGUGAUUUGUCAUUUUACAAAACAAAUACAGUUCGGUUGAGAAGAGAGCCAAGUGAAAAAUAAUCCCAAGGCUAGAAAGCUACAGUGGAAGUUUGGAGCAAAAGAAAAAAACACAAACCAACCCCCCAAAAACAUAAAAGCUCAGGAUGAUUUAUUUCAUAAUUUAAAAAUCAAAAUUGCCUUCAGGCAGGAAGGCUUGUUUGCCCAGUUUUACCCUAGAGUGAGUCAUAAUAGCUAAGUUACAUACCCUUGGAAAAACCAGGGUUUUUCCAGUGGGAGCACUGAGAUGUCAUUAAGCCCAGCACUGUGUGUGGCGGUGCCAGAAUCAAAUGUCCUUUGAAAUUGAGACCAGCCAAGAGAAAGCCCCAGGGCCAGUGCUGCGUUUCUCCAGAACAUGUCAUGUCCCCGCCGUCUCAUCUAGGAGGUGGCAGGGAAAGAAUUGUGGGGAGCAAACAAUCACUCUAGCUGCAGGGAUAGGGCAGAGCUAGGUGGGCAGUGGGACAUAGACAAAGGAAAAUAUUAAUCACAAGGACUAGAUUGAAUUCCAUCUGCAGUAAGGACAUAGUCUGGACACAGCCACCAAUAAGUCCAGACCUGUAUCAGUUAUCUAGUGCCCCAAUAUUUCAGCAUAACAAAUAACCCCCAAACUUCAGAGGCAUGCAACAAUAAGCGUUGAUUUUCAUUCACAAGUCUGUGAGCCAGGCUUCGGCUAAUCUCAGCUGGCCUUGCUGUUGUAUCUGUGGUCAUCUAGUGCAUCAGUUGGGGAACAGCUGGUCUGGAAUGCUUUCACUCACAUGUCUGGCAUCUGCCUGGCUAUCAAUGAAGCAAUGGAGGUAUGUGGCUCAUGUGUCCACCGUCACCCAGGAGACUAGCCUGGGCUUGUUCACGUGGUGGUGGCAAAGUUCCAAGAAAGAAUGGAAGCACAAAAGGCUAAGUCACAACGCCAACCCAGAUUCGAGAGAUGAGAAAGUGGAUUCUAACUCUUGACCAAAGGAGAUGCAAAGUCCAAUGGCCAAGGCCACAGAUACAGAGAGAGGUGGAGAAUUGGGGACCUUUUAACAAUUUUCUACAAGAACAGUGCCGCUGGUGAUGUUGCAGAAGAGAGCUUAGACUUCAUCUAUGAAGCCACAGAGCAUGGUGUGGAAAUCUGCAGUUAGAAGAUGGAUUUUGUCGGACAGUAUAGGGACAAAAUAGUCCAAGCUCUCCAACAUAAAAUGGACUGUCUUAGGAGAUGAUACUUUUACAUGAUUAUAACUACUAAUGUUGAAUGUUUAUUACAGGAGUCAAUGUUCUGGGUGGCUCACAGGAAUUAAUCAUGGCAGUAACACCAUGAGCAGGGUCACUGUGAACUGUUAUGCAGGCAUGUUCUGCGGAAAGGGUCCACUUGGCUGAGAGGCAUGCUUCUUGCCGAAUCAUGAGUGCAGGUGUGGAGCUGUGUCCACUUGGAGGAAGGAAGACCUUUUGCUAAUGCAUAUCCAGGUGAUGUAUUAACUGGCAGCAGCCCAGCCUGCUUAUGAGGUUGGUAAUAGUGUAUUCUGACUUUCAUUUUAGAGUUAAACAACAUGAGACCUAAGAGAGUUUAGGUAAAUCACUCAGAAAUAUUCAGGUUUUGAGCAGAAGAGAGAUUUGAACUCAGGCAGUCUGCCUUCAGCUCAGGCUUUUGACCAUAAAACUAUCCUGCCUGGCUUGAUCCUUACAACAACCUACUAGAAAGGGAAGCCAUUUCUGUUUCACAGAUGGGAGAUUUAAGGCUCCAAAAGUCAAGGAACUUGCUAAAAAAUUAAGAGAUUCAGGUAUUGAAUGGCAGUAGGAUUUUUUCCCAUACCUGUCUAAUUCCAAAGCCUAUUUGCUUUUAACUGUAAACUAUCUCUUCUCCAUCAGUAGUCUAAGAAGUUCUCUAUCACUGAAAGCAUGCAAGAAGAGGCUAUAUGUCACGAUUGCUAGGAGAGAUUAAUGCAUCAGCUGAGAACUGUAAUUUAGUGUCCCUUUACCUUGAAAAUUCUAUAAAUAGGACUGGCCACGAAAGCUUUCUGGGUUGCUCCAUCCUUGCUCCGCUUGAUUCCUCAUGUUCAGAAGUAAGAUCAAGACAAGAAGUUCCCUUCCAUGGAAACAAAUAUCCAAAGCUGAGAAAGGCACGGAGAUGUAGACAGGACAUUUGCUUUACCUUUUAUUACUUACCUGCUCUGGGCUAGGGCAUUCAGGGGCCCUCAGAGUCUCACUGGGUUCCUAUUAACUGCCUGUUGCGUACAAUGGGCUUUGGAAAACACCCUUCCUUCUGGGAAAUCUUCCCAAACCUGCAAAAACUAUUUUGCUGACCUCCCAAUGGAAUUAUAUAGAAGAUAAUUUAAAAUAAAAUGUCUAACUCUGUGUGUCAGACUCACCAGUGUAGCCCUGGAAGGUUUAUGAGGACAGAGGGGAAAGAGGCUGGGCUACAAAGACCAGAAUAUUCUGGAGGCAUCGACACACCCUGGUUUCCUUUCCUGCCUCUAUCACUCUCUGGUUCUGAUUCCAACUCUCCUUAACUCUGAUGUAGAGCCUGGGAUUCCUUUGGAAUCGAGUACUCAUGCUCACCCACCCACACUAAUGGGAUGUGCUUCUUUAACCCUCCAGAUUUCAAAGGCACUGUCACUACCAGAAAAAUCCUGCCUCUGCCCCCAAAAUUCUGUCCCAACACAACUUAGCAGUUGAUGCGGUACAACGCAGGCUGGUCAACCAAUGGCACCAAUGGUACUGUUCAUCCCAGAAGGACACUGAGUUUGAGACCCAGCUCUACAAUUGAUCGAUUAGUAGCAUGACCUUGGGCAAGUGGCCUGAAACUAAGCCUCAGUUUCCUCAUCAGUAACAAAGAAAAAUAUUAUCUCCUGGGGUUAUAUUAAGAAUUCAAUGACCAACAUCAAAGACUACAGAAUUUCAGUUAGACAGAAGAAAUGCAUUUUUGAGAUCAAUUGCACAGCAUGAUGACUGCAGUCCCCAGUCUGACCACCUCUCACCACCUCCACAGCUCCAAGCUAACCUAGUCACUGUCAUCUUACCUGGAGUAUAUAAUAUAACAGCCUCUUCCCUGGUCUCUCUGCCCCAACCUGUGGAGGAAUUUGAGAGUGAAGCUCUCCCCUUGUAAGGAAGAGCAUGUCUAUGUCUCUAUACAGUUCCCCAUUUCACCCAGAAUCAAAGCCACAGCCUGGAAGUGGUGCAGAGAGCCUCACAGGCUGUGCCCACCCCCAUUUCCUCUUAAUCUCCUCUCUUACUCUCUCCUUCACUCACUCUACUCUAGCCACAGGGAGCUCCUUGCUGCGUCUCAAAACACACCAGGCACACUCCAUCCAAGCUCCUUUGUGAGAGCUUUCCCUCUGCUUCAAUUUCCCCAGAUAUCACUGUGGUUCAUUCUGCCCCCUUCACAUUUUUCAUCUUAUGCCAUCAGCUGCAAGGUGUCGUCCUACCACCCUAUUCACAACUGCAACCCUCUCUCACUCUCAGCACUCCAAUUUCUACAACCCUGUCCUUUUAUUGAUUUCCCAUUUUCAUUAGCAUUUAUCACAUUCAAGCAUAUUAUCUAACUUAAUCUAAUCUAACUUAUUUAUCAUGUUUAUUAUUUAUUGUCUCUCUCUCCGUUAGGAUAUAAGCUGCUACAGGGCAGGGCUUUUUGUCUAUCCUGUUCCCUGAUGGAUCCCAAGUGCCUGAUCCAGUGCCUUGCACAGAGUCUCUCAGGCUGCCCUCACCCCUGGGGGAAGUGGGGGAUGAAUUUGGCAGAGCUGGCCUCAGGAGGUGGAUGGCCUUGCUUCAGAGGCUCUCUGUCAAAACUCUUUCUACUGCUCAAUCAUCUUCCUGGGAAAAAAUAUCAGAUGGCAGGAUCGAGAGGGAGCAGUGUUGCCUGGACAGUGUGGGAAGUAAAUGGCACAGUAUGGGAUUAAAGAAGGAUAUUUGGUAAGUCCUGAACUUGUGUCCCACAAUCAGUUUUCCUCAGACAGGACAAUAAGACACUGCAGGCCUCAGAAGGAUCAAAGUAAAUCAGCCAUGCCUAGCAUAUACUGAAACCAUAUCUGCAAGUUCUGAAGAUCAUGGAACACACAGAAUGUUUGUUGAAUUCAUAUCAAGAUGAAUGAAAAUAAGCGUGGAAAAGAAACUAAGAAGUGAUUAUUCUGUUGUUUUCCAAGCUGGGCAAACCACAUGUGUAGCAAGGCUGGCAUUUGUCCUGAAUCACUAUGUUUCCAGGACCACAGACACCCAGGAGUAUAGUCAGAAGUAGGUACGUGGAUCUCAAAACAAUGUUAUAAGAAAGCUUGAAGGAAUGGAGAACAUUUAGCCCAGGAGAGCAUCCAUGGGACAUGACUAUUAUUUUCAGAAAAUGGAAGGCUCUUGAUGUAGGGCAGGGAAUCACAAUUGUUUUGUAUGGCCUCAAGGAGCACUGGAGCCAUGCAUGUGAAUUGCAUUUUAGCUUAGAAUUUAAACUUCGGAAAACAUUCUAAUAAUAGAGCUUUUAAAUAUAGAAUAGGCAGACUCAGUAGGAAGUCAGCCAUCUACAAGUAAAGGUCUUCAGCAUGUGCUCUAUCAGGUGACAGAUUCAAAAGUUAGUCUGGAUUACCUUUAAAGGAAAAAAUUAUUUGAUUCUAUGAAAGGGGGGAGAAAAGUCACUAUAUUAGUUGGAGUAAGGGCUCCAUAACAGAGACUCAACAAUUCAAUCACAUAAAGGGCCAGGAAAUUGAUGACUCUCUCCCAGAACACUGCAAGGCAGGUAGGCAGCCUCUGCUUCAUAAAACCAUCAUGGGAACCAGGCUGGGGUGGGAGAACCUCAAUGUGAGGCUUCUGAGGCAAACCCGGUUGUCAACCAUAUCCAGUCAGUGGGAGGAAACAGGCGAAGUCCAGGACUGGAUACUGCUUAUUAACCAUGGAAUACAGAAGUUGCACGCAUUACUUCUACUCCUGUUCCAUUGGUGUAUCUGGUCUCCUGACUACAUUUCACUGCAAGGGAUGCUGGGAAGUGUACUCUGAGCCAAGCAGCCAGGAAGAAAAAAAAUGAAUUGAGAAUCCCAUGGCAGACUUGUGAUGGACAUCCCAAUUAUCCUGAUUUGAUCAUUACACGUUGCAUGUAGGUAUCCGAAUAUCACAUAUACCCCAAAAAUAUGUACAACUAUUAUAUAUAAAUAAAAAAAAUUUUAAACAGCA
Long non-coding RNA from Homo sapiens (human), 8202 nucleotides. RefSeq lists it as uncharacterized. The transcript has 3 exons. The record is from RefSeq and is a predicted model, not a curated record. NCBI's taxonomy places the organism in Eukaryota, Metazoa, Chordata, Mammalia, Primates, Hominidae.